UGGACAGAUUAUUGUAUUCGACUGUAUUCACGACGUGAAACAGGGGAUUACACUGUUUUUAAACGGAAAGUGAAUUAAUUAACAUAAUAGACUCCU
This is a microRNA precursor of Nicotiana attenuata, 96 nucleotides long. It matches the Rfam family "MIR6152 microRNA precursor family". Lineage: Eukaryota; Viridiplantae; Streptophyta; Magnoliopsida; Solanales; Solanaceae. The record is from Rfam.